UACGUAGGGUGCAAGCGUUGUCCGGAAUUAUUGGGCGUAAAGAGCUCGUAGGCGGUCUGUCGCGUCUGCUGUGAAAACUCGGGGCUUAACCCCGGGCCUGCAGUGGGUACGGGCAGACUAGAGUGCGGUAGGGGAGACUGGAAUUCCUGGUGUAGCGGUGAAAUGCGCAGAUAUCAGGAGGAACACCGGUGACGAAGGCGGGUCUCUGGGCCGUAACUGACGCUGAGGAGCGAAAGCAUGGGGAGCGAACAGG
Molecule: ribosomal RNA, 253 nt
Filed under: uncultured bacterium
Lineage: Bacteria
Description: partial 16S ribosomal RNA
Rfam family: Bacterial small subunit ribosomal RNA
Source: RNAcentral